CUAAGUCACCGUCCCCCAUCCCCCACGGUCCCCUGUGAGAACCAGUCAGUGUGUUGAGCAUCAGCUGAGGCUUCCAGAUUCCAUGGGGAAUGACCCCCAUUGUGUGUGCUGAGGACCAGGCAGCCUCUGGCUAACUUCUUGCUUCUCGGUGUCCUGGGAACCGGUGCUGUUUGCUCCUGUCUGGAGCCUCUGUGGCUGAGCAGAGCACAUGCUGCCCUGGCCAGUGUUUCCAUAGCUGCCUCCAGGCUCCAGGCCCCAGGCUCCAGGCUGCUGCAGACUGUGAAUGAGGCCUCUCCUCUGCCCUCUGUGCUCUGUGCCAUCUCCAUGACUAAGCUUCCUGCCGUGCUCCUUCAGAUGGCAGGCCUCUGGGGCAAAUGUGGAUCCUCCAGUCUCCCAACAAGUUCUUCCAUGAGGCCCCUGAUCCUAAAGUCAAAGAUUCCAGCUGAAUCCAUGUGUGUACAAGUGCAUGUGACCAAUACAACCGGAGCCCCCAACCAGCCCAGAGAUGACAGAGGUGGAAGAGCAGCAGUAUGGGAGCCGUGGUAAGGGCAGCUGCUUCCAAGGUAUGUAACUGAUGGAAGUUUCCACAGGGCUCAGAAAAAAUGGCGAAGGUGAGCAGGCUGGCACAUCUGAGAAUCACAGCAGAAGGCGAGGCAGGAAGAUUACACGUCUGAGGCCAGUGUGAAUCAUAGAGCUAGACUCCAUCAGAGAGGAACGCUUACAGGGAGGAGUUUACAGGAGGAAGGAAGAGGAGGAGGCAGGCAGGAAAAGAAGGAAGAAGUGGGAGGAAGGAGAUGAGGAAGAACAGAGGGAGAAAGAAGACAGAAGAAAAGAAGGGGUCAGAAAGCAAGGAAGAGCAGAGGAGGAGGUGGAGGAACAGAGGAGGAGGGAGAGGAGGAGGGAGAGGAGGAGGGAGAGGAGGAGGAACAGAGGAGGAGGGAGAGGAGGAGGGAGAGGAGGAGGGAGAGCAGGAGUGGUGGGAUAUUCCCUAAGGUCGUGUGGCCACAGUUAAGAGCUGGUUUCUGCCUAAACCACUGAUUGUGCAACACCAGAAGUGUGCGAUAUGUCCCUUAGUCAUCUCUGUCCCUGGUGAUGACAGACGGCACCAUGCCCUUGGCCACAAAGGCCUCCUCUCAAAGCCGUGAGGAGGUGGCUGGGUGGUUGUGCCUCCUUCCUUAUUCUUGCUCACCAUGACCACUUUUAAGACCACCAUGGCUGUGUCUGAAAGAGUUCUUAGGCUAAAUGUCAGAAGUUGACACAGUCUCUGCAGAUGUGAAGUUCCCGAUCACGAAAGGGGACAACAGGCAGACACAGAACUGCUCCUCCCCACCUUAUCUCUGUCACCAGUGUUCACAGAAUAUCAUCACCACACAUGCUUGCUAUGGACAGUUCAUUUGAGGUCAAGGUCAGAGAGGGGACAUAGUAACCAAAUAGUCACUCACACAAAUGCAGAGGAAAUGAAGGCCAAUGUGACGCUCUAAAGACAGAAGGCCACAUGCUUUGUCACUUCCAAUCUCCCUCAUUUCCUCUCCACACACAAUAAGAC
Molecule: long non-coding RNA, 1546 nt
Filed under: Mus spicilegus (steppe mouse)
Lineage: Eukaryota; Metazoa; Chordata; Mammalia; Rodentia; Muridae
Description: lncRNA (ENSMSIG00000024269.1)
Source: RNAcentral